This 2901-nucleotide long non-coding RNA is filed under the name Triticum aestivum (bread wheat). RNAcentral describes it as "long non-coding RNA (TAES_LNC019607)". The record is from RNAcentral. Lineage: Eukaryota; Viridiplantae; Streptophyta; Magnoliopsida; Poales; Poaceae.
CGUCCUCGCCUCUCCACACGCUCGCCAGGUCCACGUGCCGAGCCGGCCCUGCAGCCCUGUCCCCGGCCUCCGAUGACUCGCCGCGCCCGCCAAGUUCCUGCGUGAGCCUCCUCUGCUCGCUCGCGUGGGCCGCAGCGGCUGCAAGGCCGGUCGUAGCCAGCCAGCCUCGCCUCUGCUCCGAAACCAGGAUCGUCAAGGUCAUCUUCGAGAAUUUUCGCCAAGUACCACGACAUUCGGAGCCCCUUGGAUACGUCAAGUUCGACUACAAAACGUCAAAACGUGUACCACUACCGCCGCCCGAACUUCUACGAACGGUGUACCACGACGAACAUGUACGGCUACAUGAUGACCCGCCAAGACCUCGAACCACUACCAUCGCGAGAACAACUACUUCCACUACCGUCGCCACGUGAACAACUACUUCCUCUACCGACGCCGUGUACAACUACUUCCGACGACGUCCUGUGAACGCCUACUUCCUCUACACCGCUCCGAAUUGCGAACCGUCUCGUUUGAACGCUUCGAAGGUAUAACCCGAAACGACCGCUGUGGACCGAAUGCACGUUGUAUGAGAUGCCCGUGUUUGCACCAUGUCCGAAUUGUCAUUGCAAGUUCCUCCUCGUUUCCAUGCCACAAUCCCGUGGGAACCCGGUAGCCGGGAGCACCCCACCGUCUUGCAUGACUCGCUCACGCCCACUUCUCGUUUGCAUCGUUAUCUCCUCAAGCUACCGGAACCGAUAUGAUGCCGUGGCAUCAUUUUUGGAUAUGUUGCCGUGGCACCAUUUUGUUUCGCCGCCGUGGUACCUUUUUCCUUCCGCCAUGGCGACUAAUGCUUCUUAUCAUGCUCUAUGUCAACAUUUUCAUAAAAUUGCAUAAAACUUGCAUAUGUCAUCCGCAUCAUGAUAACAACAAUUAAAAUGUUUAAACUUGUUGUUGCAUUAAAUUGCUAAAUGCAUAUGAGGAUUUACCGGAAUUGUUGUUCGUUGUUUCCGGCCUCAUUUAAACUUGACUAGAUAUGUAGUUUAAUUAUGCUUCACCCUUUGCCAUGUUUAACAACAUUUAAUAUUGAUUAGUAGCAUAACCGAGAGAGAACUAAAUAAUUGAUGUGGUGUUCCGUCAAUAUGCAACUCGUGCAUAUUGAGCUCCACUUAACUUGUAGUAUUGUUUGUUGCACUUUGCCAUGCCAUGCUUCAUUAAACCGGACAUGCAUCAUACUUGAUUGUGCAUUAUGCCAUGUUUAUGUGGUGGUUGUUUACUAUGUUGUUUGUUCCUUUCCGGGUUGCUUCUCACGUUAGCUUCGGUUUCGUUCCGGAGUUGUGAGGAUUCGUUCGAAUACAUCCGUUUGUCUUCUUCAUGGACUCGUUCUUCUUCCUUGCGGGAUUUCAGGCAAGAUGAUCAUACCCUUGAAAUCACUACUAUCUUUGCUAUGCUAGUUUGCUCGCUCUUUUGCUAUGCCAAUGCUACGAUGCCUACCAUUUGCUUGUCAGCCUCCCAAAUUGCCAUGUCAAACCUCUAACCCACCAUGUCCUAGCAAACCGUUGAUUGGCUAUGUUACCGCUUGCUCAGCCCCUCUUAUAGCGUUGUUAGUUGCAGGUGACGAUUGAAGUUUGUUCCUUGUUGGAACAUGGAGAUGUUGUUCCUUGUUGGAACAUGUUUACUUGUUGGGAUAUCACAAUAUAUCUUACUUAAUUAAUGCAUCUAUAUACUUGGUAAAGGGUGGAAGGCUCGGCCUUAUGCCUGGUGUUUUGUUCCACUCUUGCCGCCCUAGUUUCCGUCAUAUCGGUGUUAUGUUCCCGGAUUUUGCGUCCCUUACGCGGUUGGGCUAUAAUGGGAACCCCUUGACAGUUCGCCUUAAGUAAAGCUCUUCCAGCAAUGCCCAACAUUGGUUUUACCAUUCGCCACCUAGCCUCUUUUUCCCUUGGGUUUCGCGGACUCAAGGGUCAUCAUUAUUUUACCCCCCCCCCCCGGGCCAGUGCUCCUCUGAGUGUUGGUCCGAACUGAGCUGCCUGCGGGGCCACCUCGGGGAAACUUGAGGGUUGGUUUUACUCGUAGCUAGUCUCAUCUGAGUGUGCCCUGAGAAAGAGAUAUGUGCAGCUCCUAUCGGGAUUUGUCGGCACAUUCGGGCGGUGUUGCUGGUUUAGUUUUACCCUGUCGAAAUGUCUUGUUGUACCGGGAUACCGAGUCUGAUCGGAAUGUCUCGGGUGGAGGUCUAUUCCUUCGUUGACCGUGAGAGCUUGUGAUGGGCUAAGUUGGGACACCCCUGCAGGGAUUUGAACUUUCGAAAGCCGUGCCCGCGGUUAUGGGCAGAUGGGAAUUUGUUAACGUCCGGUUGUAGAAAACCCGAAGUUGACCUUAUUUAAAAUACAUCAACCGCGUGUGUAACCGUGAUGGUCUCUUUCCGGCGGAGUCCGGGCAGUGAACACGGUGUUGGAGUUAUGCUUGACGUAGGUUGCUAUAGGAUCACUUCUUGAUCAUACUUUUAUCGACCGUGCUUUGCCUUCUCUUCUCGCUCUCAUUUGCGUAUGUUAGCCACCAUAUAUGCUAGUCGCUUGCUGCAGCUCCACCUCAUUACUCCAUCCUUCCUAUAAGCUUAAAUAGUCUUGAUCUCGCGGGUGCGAGAUUGCUGAGUCCCCGUGGCUCACAGAUACUUCCAAAACCAGCUUGCAGGUGCCGAUGAGCCCGUGCAGAUGACGCAACCAAGCUCAGGAGGAGCUCAUUGAAGAUCUUGUCCUUUGUGUUGUUUCCGUUCUAGUUGAUCAGUAGUGGAGCCCAGUUGGGGUCGAUCGGGGACCUUUGUCGCAUUUGGGGUUCUUCUUUUAUUUUGGUUCCGUAGUCGGACCUUGAUUGUAUCUGGAUGAUGUAAUGCUUUAUUCAUGUAAUUGUGUGAAGUGGCGAUUGUAA